This 705-nucleotide long non-coding RNA is filed under the name Cottoperca gobio. RNAcentral's name for it is "lncRNA (ENSCGOG00000007242.1)". Lineage: Eukaryota; Metazoa; Chordata; Actinopteri; Perciformes; Bovichtidae. The record is from RNAcentral.
AAAAAAACCCACAAAUAUUGCCAAUUAAAUUGUAAAAAGUGACCUGGAAAUAUUCCAGCUGUUACACUGGGAACACUGUUAAUCGGGUUGGGUUACAUGCGUUACUUUGUGCGGGUGUUAUUUUGACUUCAGUGGAUCUCAGAGGUAACUGCUCUCUGCUGUUUGUUGUUCCUGCAGCUCAGAAAGGAACUGCCCACCAGCUUUUUUUUAAACCGAGUGUCUGCGUUUGAAGUAAGCAGGUAUGAAAACAAGAGGGUUGACUCGAUGUAUUCUGCAAUGAAAUACCUAUAAAUGUCAUUUUCUGUCACAUCAAUUAAACCCUAUUUUAUAGCUUAUGACGGAGAGGGGGAACCGAUGGGCCAUGAGUUCACUGAGUGUCUUUGAUCUCUUACGCAGAGCCAGUAAAGAAGACAGCCUUUUAAAAACAUCACAUGAGGACAAGAUGGUGCGGUCUCCCUCUUCUAACAGGUUUCACUGCCUGGUUCACGUCAGCGUCAUCCCCAGAUUGGAUGUGGCUAAAGUGCAACAUGAGAUGGACACGGACCUAAAUAACAGCUACUGUCACCCCAGUGGUCAGCUGUAUUUGGAGGCUGAUCUGGACAGCAUACACACCACACCUAUUGAAAGGUUCUCCGCUGUUACCACCGGUCCUCCUGUGGUGACAGAUCUGUCUCCAGUCACAACCACCACAUUUAAAACAACAGC